RNAcentral lists this unclassified non-coding RNA (4138 nucleotides) under Vitis pseudoreticulata. Its description in RNAcentral is "partial external transcribed spacer". Lineage: Eukaryota; Viridiplantae; Streptophyta; Magnoliopsida; Vitales; Vitaceae. The record is from RNAcentral.
CCCUAUGUCGCUCCGAUUCGUCCCUCCCCCCCACCCCCCGCCCAAUCCCGCGCACACACUCCCCCUUCUCCCCUUUUCCCGGCCCCGGCCCUGAGGUUUGAAACCACCCCCGCGACGCGCCGACUAUGUCCCCCCGACCCUUCGAUGCCUCUGCUGGUCGGGAUCCCCCCCUCCCCCGUGCCCAUGUCAUGUCGUCUUUUCCCAAAAACUUGGCAAAGGCAUGGAAACUUGGAAGCUUGACCGAAGACACGUGACGCGUCCCACCGCCCGUGCCAUGACGCGUGCCACGGGGCCUUGAUUGGUGCCCGCGAGCCAAGCCAAGGUGGCACGGGGCCUUGCAUGGUGCCCGCCCGCGAGCCAAGCCAAGGUGGCACGGGGCCUUGCAUGGUGCCCGCCCGCGAGCCAAGCCAAGGUGCCACGGGGCCUUGCAUGGUGCCCGCCCGCGAGCCAAGCCAAGGUGGCACGGGGCCUUGCUUGGUGCCCGCGAGCCAAGCCAAGGUGGCACGGGGCCUUGCAUGGUGCCCGCCCGCGAGCCAAGCCAAGGUGGCACGAGGCCUUGCAUGGUGCCCGCCCGCGAGCCAAGCCAAGGUGCCACGGGGCCUUGCAUGGUGCCCGCCCGCGAGCCAAGCCAAGGUGCCACGGGGCCUUGCUUGGUGCCCGCGAGCCAAGCCAAGGUGCCACGGGGCCUUGCUUGGUGCCCGCGAGCCAAGCCAAGGUGCCACGGGGCCUUGCUUGGUGCCCGCGAGCCAAGCCAAGGUGCCACGGGGCCUUGCAUGGUGCCCGCCCGCGAGCCAAGCCAAGGUGCCACGGGGCCUUGCUUGGUGCCCGCGAGCCAAGCCAAGGUGGCACGGGGCCUUGCAUGGUGCCCGCCCGCGAGCCAAGCCACGGGGCCUUGCUUGGUGCCCGCGAGCCAAGCCAAGGUGCCACGGGGCCUUGCAUGGUGCCCGCCCGCGAGCCAAGCCAAGGUGCCACGGGGCCUUGCUUGGUGCCCGCGAGCCAAGCCAAGGUGGCACGGGGCCUUGCAUGGUGCCCUCCCGCGAGCCAAGCCAAGACACGCAACGCGUGCCACGGGGCCUUGCUUGGUGCCCGCGAGCCAAGCCAAGGUGGCACGAGGCCUUGCAUGGUGCCCGCCCGCGAGCCAAGCCAAGGUGCCACGGGGCCUUGCUUGGUGCCCGCGAGCCAAGCCAAGGUGGCACGAGGCCUUGCAUGGUGCCCGCCCGCGAGCCAAGCCAAGGUGCCACGGGGCCUUGCUUGGUGCCCGCGAGCCAAGCCAAGGUGGCACGGGGCCUUGCAUGGUGCCCGCCCGCGAGCCAAGCCAAGGUGCCACGGGGCCUUGCUUGGUGCCCGCGAGCCAAGCCAAGGUGGCACGAGGCCUUGCAUGGUGCCCGCCCGCGAGCCAAGCCAAGGUGCCACGCCCGCGAGCCAAGCCAAGGUGCCACGGGGCCUUGCUUGGUGCCCGCGAGCCAAGCCAAGGUGGCACGAGGCCUUGCAUGGUGCCCACCCGCGAGCCAAGCCAAGGUGCCACGGGGCCUUGCCUUGGUGCCCGCGAGCCGAGCCAAGACAUGCGACGCGUGCCAUGUGGCCUUGCUUGGUGCCCACGAGCCGAGCCAAGACACAUGACGCGUGCCACCUCCCGUGCCACGACAGCUACAAGGACCCUCGAUAUGGUGCCAGAGGCUGUGCUAGGACACGUGACCCAUGCCAUGAUGCGUGCCACGGCCCGAGGCACUACACGUCUCGCGUGCCACGACCCCCAUUCCAUGGUGCCAGGACACCUAUAAUGACCCAUUCCAUGGUGGUAGAGGCCGUGCCAAGACACAUGGUGCGUGCCCUAUCUGGAUUUCGACCCUGAUGCCUUGACAAGGUUCCGGAUUAUGGUCUAUUGCUAAUCACGGAAUGUUAUUAAUCCAUGGAUUCAUGUUGCAAAGGUUGUUCGCUAUUUUGUUAUAUGGUUUUUUUAAGUAAAAAAAUUUUAAAAUAAAUUUUGUUUGGACAAUCCUUGGAUUCUUUUUUAAGAUUUCUUUUUCCCAUAUCAAAUACAAUUUUUAAAAAUAUUUAAAUUAAUUUUUACUUAUUUUCCCCCCAUUUUUCUAAGUAAAAAAGCUAAAAAAAAAUAUUUUUUGGCCAAGAGAGCUUCACCAAUCCUUGAAUUCGUCUUCCAUAUAUUUUUCCCAUGUGAAAUACAUUUUUUAAAAAUAUUUACACUAUUUUUUCCUCAUUUUUACUAUUUUUUAAGUAAAAAAUUCGGAAAAAAAAAAUUAUUUUUCAGAGAUAAGUUGCAUUAAUUCAUGGAUUCCUAUUCCAGAUAUUUUUCCCAUGUGAAAUACAAUUUUUAAAAAUAUUUUCACUAUUUUUUGGUAUUUUUUACUAUUUUUCCCUAUUUUUCCCUAUUUUUCGGACAAAAAAAUUAAAAUAAAUAUUUUCUGGGCCGAAAUUUUUUUUUCUUUUUUUCCUUGGGUUCAUAUAAUUAUUAUAAAGAGAUUCAGCAAAAAAAACGGAAUUAAAAACUCUUUUUUCAUUAAAAAAUGGCAUUAUGUCUCCUCAAGCAUGGGUGAUGUCUCCUCAAGGCAUUUCCAAAAUGGCCCAAAAUGCUCUUUAAGGGGGGGGUGCUGUCCUCAAUGGGCUGGCAGCACCACCCGCCCAGGCACGCUGCAGCGCGUGCCGCCCUUGGCGUGCAGGCUGCCCAUGCCACCCUAGGCAUGGCGCCCCCGCAUAUGCCACCCUCAAGCCCACGACACGCUAAUGCGAAGAGAGCACGCCCUCGACACCGUGGGAAGCCCUCGCACGCAACAGCAGUCACCCCGUGCCCCGUACACGCUGCACCCCGGACGCGUCCCAUGGCCCCCAUGCGGACACGCCCUCCCCCCCAUGCAACGAGUGCCCUCCCCGCGCACUCGGCCCCGUCCCUCCCCGUCUCGGCUCGACCCCUCGAGCGAGCAUGUUGCCUCGGAAAAACGUGCUAGUGGCCAACGUCGCGGCUCACCCCGGGGGGCUCACCCAUGCCUCCCGCCCGACGUUGCCCAUCGAAAGGCACACGGACGCCCCUCCCCCCAUGCAACGAGUGCCCUCCCCGGGUGCUCGGCCCCCCGUCUCGGCUCGUCGAGGAGCCCUCAAGCCCUCGAGCGAGCAUGUUGCCUCGGAAAAAACGUGCCAGUGGCCAACGUCGCGGCUCACCCCGGGGGGCUCACCCAUGCCUCCCGCCCGACGUUGCCCAUCGAAAGGCACACGGAUGCCCCUCCCCCCAUGCAACGAGUGCCCUCCCCGGGUGCUCGGCCCCCCCGUCUCGGCUCGUCGAGGAGCCCUCAAGCCCUCGAGCGAGCAUGUUGCCUCGGAAAAAACGUGCCAGUGGCCAACGUCGCGGCUCACCCCGGGGGCUCACCCAUGCCUCCCGCCCGACGUUGCCCAUCGAAAGGCACACGGAUGCCCCUCCCCCCCAUGCAACGAGUGCCCUCCCCGGGCACUCGGCCCCGUCCCGGCUCGUCGAGGAGCCCUCAAGCCCUCGAGCGAGCAUGUUGCCUCGGAAAGGAGCCAGAUGCAUCGUCGCCAUGCCUAUAUCGGUCCUACGAAGGCUUCACUCGUUGCUCCCGUGUGCUGGUCAGGAGUCGCCUCCGGACGAGUCGCGGUUCGAUGCGUGAUGCCGUGUCGUAGUGAACCUGAUGGCGUGUGAGUGGUGUUUGGGUCGCGUGGGUCGGCAGGCUCCUUGCUCGUGCAACGAACUGUCGCCGCACCGCCCUCUUCAUUCUAAGCCUCAAGCGCUGCAACAAGCCUUGGGCGUCGCGAUGCCGUGGUUCCUGUGUUGCCUUCCUAACGGAUGGAAUUGUCCCUCGAACGUUGCCUAUCUCCGCCCGGCUCCCGCUCACGCGGUGCGGGCGGACCUCGAAAGCGGUCGCCGCGUCCCAUGGUCGCCCCACGCAUGCGCACGCAUGAGAGGGGUCGAGCAUGGCCCGCGACGGCCGCUCGUGCUCUCGGAUGCGGAACCUUAAAACGAGCGUGGGGUCUCUCGGGAUCCCGUACUCGCUCGAGCUAAGCGUUCGUCGCUAGACGCGUACGACGGCCGUCCCCGUCUUUGCCCUCCCGUCCCGCUCCCCUCGGGGGGCGUCGGUCAGGCGCAUGCGGUGCCGGCGUCGCACAGGAAUGC